UAGAUAAGCAUUUUUCAAACUCUGUUUUAU
RNAcentral lists this non-coding RNA (30 nucleotides) under Mus musculus (house mouse). Lineage: Eukaryota; Metazoa; Chordata; Mammalia; Rodentia; Muridae. The record is from RNAcentral.